Molecule: unclassified non-coding RNA, 281 nt
Filed under: fungal sp.
Lineage: Eukaryota; Fungi
Description: partial internal transcribed spacer region
Rfam family: Eukaryotic small subunit ribosomal RNA (bases 1-46)
Source: RNAcentral
AAGUCGUAACAAGGUUUCCGUAGGUGAACCUGCGGAAGGAUCAUUAGAGAAUUGUACCAAAACAAUAUGGACAAUCCAUCCAUAUUAUCCCACCUUGUGUGCAUCCAUUGAAACCAUGCUUUGGGAGGUCUCUCUUUAAAAAAAAUGAAGAGGGAUUUUAAGCCUCCCAAGGUUUUCCCUUGUACACACUCUUUUUUCUUGUUUCUCCUGAAAAAAUAAAAUAAAAUAAAAUAAGACGAAAUAAAAAAAUACAACUUUCAACAACGGAUCUCUUGGCUCUC